Molecule: ribosomal RNA, 476 nt
Filed under: uncultured bacterium
Lineage: Bacteria
Description: partial 16S ribosomal RNA
Rfam family: Bacterial small subunit ribosomal RNA
Source: RNAcentral
AAUGAGCGUUGGCGGCGUGGAUUAGGCAUGCAAGUCGAGCGGGUGUAGCAAUACACCAGCGGCGAAAGGGAGAGUAAUACGUGGAUACCUACCCCCGGAUCUGGGAUAGCCUCGGGAAACUGAGGGUAAUACCAGAUAAUGUCUCCGGACCAAAGGUGUGAUUCCGUCCGAGGAGGGGUCCGCGGCCUAUUAGCUAGUUGGUGGGGUAACGGCCUACCAAGGCGAAGAUGGGUACGAGGCGUGAGAGCGUGUCCUCGCUCAUUGGGACUGAGACACUGCCCAGACACCUACGGGUGGCUGCAGUCGAGAAUCUUCGGCAAUGGGCGCAAGCCUGACCGAGCGACGCCGCGUGCGGGAUGAAGGCCUUCGGGUUGUAAACCGCUGUCAGUAGGGAGGAAAGGUUUGGGGGUUCUCCCCCAGAUUUGACCUAUCUGCAGAGGAAGGACGGGCUAAGUUCGUGCCAGCAGCCGCCGUAA